This 537-nucleotide ribosomal RNA is filed under the name uncultured bacterium. RNAcentral's name for it is "bacterial SSU rRNA". It matches the Rfam family "Bacterial small subunit ribosomal RNA", at positions 974 to 1509 of the family's 1533-position model. The record is from RNAcentral.
CCUGGCCUUGACAUACUAAGAACUUUCCAGAGAUGGAUUGGUGCCUUCGGGAACUUAGAUACAGGUGCUGCAUGGCUGUCGUCAGCUCGUGUCGUGAGAUGUUUGGGUUAAGUCCCGCAACGAGCGCAACCCUUUUCCUUAUUUGCCAGCGGGUUAAGCCGGGAACUUUAAGGAUACUGCCAGUGACAAACUGGAGGAAGGCGGGGACGACGUCAAGUCAUCAUGGCCCUUACGGCCAGGGCUACACACGUGCUACAAUGGUCGGUACAAAGGGUUGCUACCUCGCGAGAGGAUGCUAAUCUCAAAAAGCCGAUCGUAGUCCGGAUCGCAGUCUGCAACUCGACUGCGUGAAGUCGGAAUCGCUAGUAAUCGCGGAUCAGAAUGCCGCGGUGAAUACGUUCCCGGGCCUUGUACACACCGCCCGUCACACCAUGGGAGUUUGUUGCACCAGAAGUAGGUAGUCUAACCGCAAGGAGGACGCUUACCACGGUGUGGCCGAUGACUGGGGUGAAGUCGUAACAAGGUAAGCGUAGAUGA